UAAUAAAAAAGUAGCAUUUAGGUAGUGACGACAACGACGUAUUUCCACGCAUUUAAAAGUGGUUUCAUCGCUUUAAGAGACAUUUUCAAAAGUUAAACGUCACGAUAUACAUCAAGAAGUGUUUUAGUUGUGUAAUUUUUUAAAGAACUAUGAAGUUUAAAGUGUUUUUUAACAUGAUUUGCUUUUUCGAUGGACUCAAAGUACCACAAUGCACCGCAACAAAAUGUCAUCUCCUUGGCUACGGCGUUGGAGGAGCUACGCCCCACGAGAAAGGAAGGAGGCUUGGCCCUGAAAGGACUCAUUGUAGGACGGGGUGAGCAUGUGUGCGGCCGCAGUGUGACUGUGUGAGUUCUGAGUUGGACCCCCCCCCCCCCUCCUUGAAGAUCUGAGGGAUUAGUUGAUGGGCGCACAUCGCCUCCUCCUUCUCGGACUACAACUCCGCGACGUGGAAAGUGCAAAGCGUUGAAUCAUGCUCCUCGUCAUCCCCACCGAUUGGAAGUGGAGCCGGAAUUGGGCAAAAUUCGGAUAACAAGCACAAGAAGAGCGGAACUUUCCCAGAUCUCCCCCGAGCUUCCCCAACCUUCUUUCUCCGCAUUGUUGCUGCGGUGAAAAUGCCUCCGCACCAGGGGCUCGGUCCGCUCCAUUGCCCCCCCUCACUCACACAUGUGGUUGAAUGUUGAAGAAGUGAGGGAAGGAAUCGAACCUUGGCGACCGAACAGGAUAUCGUAAACAUUUUUUUAUAACUUAUCUUCACUUUUGUUUCUAAGCUGUUGAACUGAUCAGUCCAACAUGGGGAACGCGGGGAGUAUGGACCAACACACGGAUCUCAGGGGCCACAACAUGCCCCUAAAACUCCCCAUGCCGGACCCUGGAGAGCUGGAGGAAAGAUUCGCUAUUGUUUUGAACUCAAUGAAUCUUCCUCCAGACAAAGCUCGCCUGUUGAGGCAGUAUGACAACGAGAAGAAGUGGGAGCUCAUCUGCGAUCAGGAGCGAUUCCAAGUGAAAAAUCCACCUCACACUUACAUCCAAAAGUUGAGGAGUUAUCUUGACCCGGCAGUUACAAGAAAGAAAUUCAGGCGAAGAGUUCAAGAGUCCACCCAAGUCCUGAGAGAACUGGAAAUUUCACUGCGGACCAAUCAUAUCGGAUGGGUUAGAGAGUUCCUCAAUGAAGAAAACAAAGGCCUGGAUGUGCUGGUGGACUAUCUUUCUUUUGCACAGUACGCUGUCACGUUCGAUGGAGAUGGUGUUGAAAACAAUUCUGAAGCCCUCAUAGACAAGACCAAACCUUGGAGUCGCUCCAUCGAGGACCUGCAUGGAGGAAGCACAAUGUCAUCCCCCCUUAGUGGGAACGGCAUCACCCGGGCGGGGCGACACUCAACAAUACGUUGUAACACAUUGCCCAGUCGUAGGACGCUAAAGAACUCCAGGUUGGUCUGCAAGAAAGACGACGUCCACGUCUGCAUCAUGUGCCUGCGCGCUAUCAUGAACUACCAGUAUGGCUUCAACAUGGUCAUGUCCCACCUUAAUGCUGUGAAUGAAAUUGCACUAAGUCUCAACAAUAAAAACCCAAGAACCAAAGCUUUGGUCUUGGAGCUCCUUGCAGCAGUUUGUCUCGUGAGGGGAGGCCAUGAAAUCAUCCUUGCUGCGUUUGACAACUUUAAAGAGGUUUGCAUGGAGACUCAGCGGUUUGAGAGGCUAAUGGAGUAUUUCAAGAAUGAAGACAACAACAUUGAUUUCAUGGUGGCCUGCAUGCAGUUCAUCAACAUCGUUGUGCACUCGGUAGAGGACAUGAACUUCCGGGUUCAUCUCCAGUACGACUUCACCAAGCUCGGUCUGGAUGAAUUCUUAGACAAACUCAAGCACACAGAGAGCGAUAAACUGCAGGUUCAGAUCCAGGCCUACUUGGACAAUGUGUUUGAUGUCGGCGCCCUCUUGGAGGAUGCCGAGACCAAAAACGCGGCCCUGGAGCGAGUGGAGGAGCUGGAAGAAAACAUGUCACAUUUAACAGAGAAGCUGCUGGAUGCAGAAAAUGAAGCCAUGUCCAAGAUUGUGGAGCUGGAGAAGCAGCUGAUGCAGACUAACAAGGAUCUAGAAGGCAUGAAGGAAGCUUACAAAGACACGAGCGGGAAGCUGCACUCGCUAAGGCAGGUCUUAAAAGAGAAGGACGAGGCCAUUCAGCGACAGAGUCACUUGGAGAAGAAGAUCCACGAGCUGGAGAAGCAGGGCUCUAUCAGGAUCCACAAAAAGGGAAACGGCGACAUCUCCAUUCUGGCCACAUCACCACCCGGCGGUAUGGAAGUGUUGCCUGGCACCAUGACAAGGGGAAAUGGCGGCCCCGUUGGAGACGCGGUGGGUGCCACGUCUCCUCCACCACCUCCGGCCCCUCCAUUGCCAGAGAAUGGCACAUUAUCAAAUGGACCUUCAUCGACCACACCUACUCCAGCAGCUCCUCCCCCACCACCGCCGCCGCCUCCACCGCCCCCACCUCCACUUCCACCUACAGGACCCACUUCACACAUGUCAGCCCCCCUGCCGCCUCCGCCUCCUCCUGCAGCGCCUCCACUGCCCGGCUGUGGGACCCCCACUGUCAUCAUGAACUCCGGUUUAGCCGAGGGACCCAUCAAACUUUUCUCUGUUAAAAUAAAAAAACCCAUCAAAACAAAGUUCCGCAUGCCAGUCUUCAACUGGGUUGCACUGAAACCCAACCAGAUCAACGGGACAGUCUUCAAUGAGAUCGACGAUGAAAGGAUACUUGAGGACCUGAAUGUAGAUGAGUUCGAGGAAAUGUUCAAGACGAAAGCCCAGGGCCCGUCGAUGGAGUUCACCAUGAGCAAGCAGGUCAUUCAGAAAGGACCGAACAAGGUGACGCUGCUGGACUCCAACCGGGCGAAGAACCUGGCUAUCACGCUGAGGAAAGUGGGCAAGACGCCAGAGGAGAUCUGCAAGGCCAUUCAGUUGAUUGACUUGCGGACCCUGCCGGUGGACUUCGUCGAGUGCCUCAUGCGCUUCCAGCCCACGGAGCACGAGGUGAAAACCCUGCGGCAGUUCGAGAAGGAGCGUAAGCCAGUGGAGAGCCUGACAGACGAGGACCGCUUCAUGAUGCAGUUCAGUAAGAUCGAGCGGCUCAUGCAGAAGAUGACUAUCAUGGCCUUCAUCGGGAACUUCACAGAGAGUUUGCAGAUGUUAACGCCGCAACUUCAUGCAGUCAUCGCUGCAUCCGUGUCCAUCAAGUCGUCACAGAAGCUGAAAAAAAUACUAGAGAUUAUUUUAGCACUUGGAAACUACAUGAACAGCAGCAAAAGGGGAGCAGUCUAUGGAUUCAAGCUGCAAAGUUUAGACCUGCUACUUGACACCAAAUCGACAGACCGCAAGAUAACAUUGUUACACUACAUAGCCAACGUGGUGAAGGAGAAAUACAGCCAGGUCUGUCUUUUCUACAAUGAGCUUCACUAUGUGGAGAAAGCUGCUGCAGUGUCGCUGGACAACGUCCUGCUGGAUGUGAAAGAGCUGCACAGAGGCAUGGAGCUGACCAAGAGAGAGUACAGCAUGCACGGCCACAACACCAUGCUCAAGGAUUUCAUCAUGCACAACGAGAGCAAGCUGAAAAAGCUGCAGGAUGACGCCAAGAUCGCACAGGAUGCCUUUGAGGAGGCAGUGAAGUUCUAUGGAGAGAGUUCAAAAACUACGCCGCCAUCCGUCUUCUUUCCUGUGUUUGUACGCUUUGUGAAGGCCUACAGGCAAGCUGAAGAGGACAACGAGCAGAAAAAGAGGCAGCAGCAGAUUUUGAUGGAGAAGCUUCUAGAACAGGAGGCCAUGAUGGAAGCAGACCAGAAGUCUUCUUCGCAUAAAAACAAAAGACAGCAACAGGAGCUGAUCCAAGAACUGCGGAAGAAGCAAGUAAAAGACAGCCGCCACGUCUAUGAAGGCAAAGAUGGAGCCAUUGAGGACAUCAUCACGGUGCUGAAGACGGUGCCCUUUACCGCCCGCACCGCCAAGCGCGGCUCUCGGUUCUUCUGCGAGCCCGCCCUCAAUGAGGAGUACCAUUACUAAGCUUGUAGAACUCUCUUCUUCCCUUCCAAAAAAAAAAAAAGGUUGCUGGAACACGUCGUCCUUCUCUCCCCACUUUGUCCUGGAAUAACCUUGCACGCUUUCUAACUUCCACACGUGUCCUGUUGUGGGGUUGCCAACACAUAAACCACACUUGCCUGAGUGAAUGUGUGUUUAAUCACCUUUUUCGACCUCCUAAGCAUGACACGGUGUUGGCGUGGGGCCACCUAAAUGGAGUCUGACCCCGUCUUUAACAAUCAUCAUUUCAUCAUGUAGAUUUUUCCUCAGAGGUGACUUUUCUCUGCUGACAGUACAAGAAAACUGCUGCUGGCUUUAACAGCAAGCUCUGACUUUUAGCUACAUGCUGCCAUCUAGUGGAUGUGAAUGGAAGGCCACCCUACAGACAUAGUAGACUAACCAGCUAAGGAGAGCAUGCUCUAUGUUGACAAUCAUUUCAUCAUACUUUUUCAUUAUGCAAUCAAUUAAUCCAUUAUACUUAGCUAGAACACCAUUAAAUUAGAUUAGCGAUAUAAAACCAUAUUUGAUAGAUAGAUAGUACUUUAUUGAUUCCUUCAGGAGAGUUCCCUCAAGAAAAUUAAUAUUAUUCAUACCCUGGCUUAAGAUUGAGUUAAAAUUGAUGGUGAAAAGAAAUAAUUGGCCAUAACACAUUUGCUAAAACAAAGAAAGAAAGAAAAUCAGAACAAACGCUCAUUUCGUUAAUGUCACAAGACAAAGCCACCUACGAGGGCUGUGGCCAUUAGUUUGGCACAGGAGUCUGCAGUUAUUAUAGUCAUAAUACAGUUAUAAUGCAGUUAUUAUUGUCAUAAUACGGUUAUAAUGCAGUUAUUAUGGUCAUAAUGCAAUUAUGAUGUAGUUAUAACCUGGUCAUAAUACAGUGCCAAUGCAGUCAUAAUGCAGUUAUUAUGGUCAUAAUGUGGUUAUAACCUGGUCAUAAUGUGGUUAUUGCGGUUGUAAUGUAGUUAUAACAUGUUAUAAUGCGGUAAUAAUGCAGUUACUAUGUCAUAAUGUGGUUAUAACAAGGAGUCCCAGUGCUAACGCAACGAUAAUGCAGUUAUGUUAUAGCACGAUUAUAAUGCAAUUAUUAUGGUUAUUGUGGUUGUAACUUGUAAUGUAGUCAUAACGUGGUCAAAACGCGGGGAUAUGGUCGUAAUGUGGUUAUAACCUGGUCACAACAGUUACUAGGGUCAUAGUGUGGUUGUAACGAGGUCAUAAUGCAGUUAUUAGGGUCAUAAUGUGAUUAUAACCUGGUCAUAAUGUGGUCAUAAUGCAGUUAUUAGGGUCAUAAUGUGGUCAUAUUGCAGUUGUGGUUAUAACCGGGUCACAAUGCAGUUAUUAGGGUCAUAAUGUGGUCAUAUUGUAGUUUUGGUUAUAACCUGGUCACAAUACAGUUAUUAGGGUCAUAAUGGAGUUAUAUUGUGGUUAUAACGAGGUCAAAAUGCAGUUAUUAGGGUCAUAACGUGUUAUAUUGUGGUUUUAACAAGGUCAAAAUGCAGUUAUUAGGGUCACAACGUGUUAUAUAGUGGUUAUAACGAGGUCAAAAUGCAGUUAUUAGGGUCACAACGUGUUAUAUUGUGGUUAUAACGAGGUCAAAAUGCAGUUAUUAGGGUUAUAACGUGUUAUAUUGUGGUUAUAACGAGGUCAAAAUGCAGUUAUUAGGGUCAUAACGUGUUAUAUUGUGGUUAUAACGAGGUCAUCAUGCCGUUAAUAAGGUCACAACGUGUUAUAUUGUGGUUAUAACGAGGUCUUAAUGCCGUUAAUAAGGUCAUAACGUGGUUAUAUUGUGGUUAUAACGAGGUCAAAAUGUAGUUAUUAGGGUCACAACGUGUUAUAUUGUGGUUAUAACCUGGUCAAACUGCAGUUAUUAGGGUCUUAACGUGUUAUAUUGUGGUUAUAACGAGGUCAAAAUGCAGUUAUUAGGGUCAUAACUUGUUAUAUUGUGGUUAUAACGAGGUCAAAAUGCAGUUAUUAGGGUCAUAACAUGUUUUAUUGUGGUUAUAACGAGGUCAAAAUGCCGUUAUUAGGGUCAUAACGUGUUAUAUUGUGGUUGUAACAAGGUCAAAAUGCAGUUAUUAGGGUCAUAAGGUGUUAUAUUGUGGUUAUAACGAGGUCAAAAUGCAGUUAUUAGGGUCAUAACGUGUUAUAUUGUGGUUAUAACGAGGUCAUCAUGCCGUUAAUAAGGUCAUAACGUGGUUAUAUUGUGGUUAUAACGAGGUCAAAAUGCAAUUAGGGUCACAACGUGUUAUAUUGUGGUUAUAACGAGGUCAUAAUGCCGUUAAUAAGGUCAUAACGUGGUUAUAUUGUGGUUAUAACGAGGUCAAAAUGUAGUUAUUAGGGUCAUAACGUGGUUAUAUUGUGGUUAUAACGAGGUCAUCAUGCCGUUAAUAAGGUCAUAACGUGGUUAUAUUGUGGUUAUAACGAGGUCAAAAUGCAGUUAUUAGGGUCACAACGUGUUAUAUUGUGGUUAUAAGGAGGUCAUUAUGCCGUUAAUAAGGUCAUAACGUGGUUAUAUUGUGGUUAUAACAAAGUUAUAAUGCAGUUUUUAGUGUCAUAAUGCGGUGAUAAUGCCAACAGGUGGUGUCAAAGCUCAUGGUAACAGUCUGUGUCGGCCACCAUUAAUACAUGGGAUUACAUAAAUUAAUUAUGUUACAUUGAAUCAUCUGACUAAAAAGGAAAACAGGAAUAUGAAAUUGUGUUAGAAUGACCAUUUAUGAAAUAUAGUAAAUAUUUGUAUCAGGUUUUUUUUGUGUUUGCAAAAUGAUUCCUAUUCCUGACAUUUACGAGGAAAUAAUUGUUUGCACCAUCCUAAACAUCCAAAUCAUUUUAAUCAAUUCUAAAUCAUAAAAUAUCCUAGAUUUUAAUCAACUGUAAAUGAACAUUGCAUAUGCAUAAAUCACAAAAAAAUCAUAUAAAUGAAUAUGGACCUCAACCUUUGUUAAAAUGUAAAGAACGCUAGGAUUUUGUUCUCUAUUUUCAGUUUAAAACUCACCAAAUAUCACUUUUUAGUUCAAAUGAAGCCAGUGUCUAAAUAAUAGUUGGAAAAAUAGUAACUGUACCGGUAUAUUAAAUGUUCAAAUACAGAAUAAAGAUACAUCAUCAUACUGUCAUUAAUGACAAAUAUAACAAGACUUUCUGCCCUUUUUUUUUUACUGUUGCAUCCUCCUUUACUAACUUGAUGACUGAGAUAAUAAUUCACUUAUUUUUUAUUUUGUUUGCAAAUGUUGCAUGCUCACUACUUCUGUUUUUCUGCUGUGCGUGCUUGUGUGUGUGUGCGUGUGUUACUUACACACAUCUGUAUACAAGUGUGCAUGCAAGUGAAAGUGGAGUUUGAGCUGCGAUUCUUUGCAUGAGUGCAUGUUGUGUUGACACCAUGACAGACUGCUGGUAGCCUCUCUGCAAAGCAACAAACAACAACGAGGCAUCCUCCUUGCUUUUGCGCCCUCUCGCACGCUAAGCGCCCCCUGCCUGUGCAGAGCCGCCGUGCAAAUGUUCCCUCGGUAACGUCCCUUUUUGUCUUCUCUUUGUCCAGCCCUAAAGAGGAGUAACAUUACUAAAUUCCCCAAUGUAUCCUCGAGGCUGAGGAAGUCCUCUGGUAGGACCCCAGUAGUGCUGCAAGUGUCCCCCACCUGGCAAGCAAUCUUAUUUCUUUGACUUGAUUUGACGCUAAACACCCAGCCCUCUUGGAAAACAAAACUGUAAAUAAGUUGGAUACACUUUAGAGUAGUCAGUGUACAGCUUGUACGGAUGUACUAUCUAUCAACAAAAAGCUAUAAAAGCCUUUCAAUGAACGGCAGCACUCGUGCAGCCCCACACCAUGACUGUAUCUUACACUCACCUGUGUUGAUACUAGCAAUGGACGAUAUGUAACAUAUGUAUUGCAGUAACAGGAUGUUAUUUGGCAUAUAGAAUAUAAUAUCAUUUUACAAAUAUUUAAUUUAGCUGCUAACGUGCGCUAACAUUGAUCAUUUCCAAUUCUCAAAACUACCGGUAUUCACUUAUUUGCUAAUUAACUCUUAAUAACUGAUUAAUUUCUACAUCCUGUUGUUUUCAUACUUUACAUUAGUUGUGGGUGAUACUACAAAUGUGGGUAUCAAUCUGAUACCAAGUAGUUACAGUAUUGGCGUAUCAAUACUGACACUUCAAAUGUUUGAGAUCAUUGAAUGAUUACACUUUUGAUCCCAAUUAUAAUCAGACAAAAACACAGAAUAUUAAAUAUUUUCAUAUUUCCUACUGAACGUGCUGAUUUAAAUCCUUAUUUCCUAAAUUUGUAAAUCAUUAAAAAAAAUUUUUGGUGAUAAAAAAUAUCAAUCUGAUGACCACCUGGUUACUGUCAAUAUUUGUAUCCAUCCGCCCACCUUUGUUUACAUUCAAAAGCUCAAGCUUAGCAUUUCUUCUUACAGUGUGUAGUGGAGCAUGUUUAGCUGUUCCUCGUCUUCCAGUGAUAACAUACCUGAAAAAAACUUCUUUUUUUUUUUUUGCCGCCAUGGAGGCGAAGAUUACUGACGUACAGUGCAUCCAGAAAGUAUUCACAGCGCUUCACAUUUUGUGUUAUAGCCUUAUUUCCUAAAUAAAUUUGUGUCCUCAAAAUUCUACAAACAAUACCCCAUAAUGACAAUGGGUAAUUUUUUAAUUUUUAAUUUCAGCAAAUUUAUUAAAUUUAAAAAAUGAAGAAAUCAAAUGUACAUAAGGAAUACAUUUGUUUUUGUCCUUUAAAUUCUACAAACAAUACCCCAUAAUGACAAUGGGAAAACAUUUUUUAUUUUAACAAUUUUAUUAAAUAUAAAACAUGAAGAAAUCCCAUGUGCAUAAGGAAUACAUUUGUUUUUGUCCUCAAAAUUCUACAAACAAUAUCCCACAAUGACAAUGGGGGAAAACAUUUUUUAAGAAAUUUUAGCACAUUUAUUAAAUAUAAAAAACGAAGAAAU
RNA transcript from Nerophis lumbriciformis (worm pipefish), 8990 nucleotides. It is a transcript of the gene named formin-like 2a, with no coding region annotated. Lineage: Eukaryota; Metazoa; Chordata; Actinopteri; Syngnathiformes; Syngnathidae. The record is from RefSeq and is a predicted model, not a curated record.